GCCCAGCCGUAAACUUUUAUCUACAUCCAAUCGCCAGGGAACUACGAGCUAAGCUUAAAACCCAAAGGACUUGACGGUACCCCAUAUCCCCCUAGAGGAGCCUGUCCUGUAAUCGAUAAUCCACGUUUAACCUCACCACCUCUUGUUAAUCAGCCUGUAUACCUCCGUCGUCAGCUUACCACGUGAGCGCCUAUUAGUGAGCCUAAUGUUUAUUCACCAAUACGUCAGGUCAAGGUGCAGCAAAUGAGAUGGGAAGAGAUGGGCUACACUCUCUAUUAUAGAGUAGACGAAAAACUACUUAUGAAAUCUAGUUGGAAGGCGGAUUUAGCAGUAAAAAGGAAUCAGAAUGUCCAUUUUAACUCGGCACUGGGGUGUGU
RNAcentral lists this ribosomal RNA (377 nucleotides) under Sclerophrys pentoni (Penton's toad). RNAcentral's name for it is "partial 12S ribosomal RNA". It matches the Rfam family "Bacterial small subunit ribosomal RNA", at positions 794 to 1384 of the family's 1533-position model. The record is from RNAcentral. Lineage: Eukaryota; Metazoa; Chordata; Amphibia; Anura; Bufonidae.